This 433-nucleotide ribosomal RNA is filed under the name uncultured bacterium. Its description in RNAcentral is "partial 16S ribosomal RNA". It matches the Rfam family "Bacterial small subunit ribosomal RNA", at positions 28 to 507 of the family's 1533-position model. The record is from RNAcentral.
GACGAACGCUGGCGGCAGGCCUAACACAUGCAAGUCGAGCGGACCUUUCGGGGUCAGCGGCGGACGGGUGAGUAACGCGUGGGAAUAUGCCCUUCUCUACGGAAUAGUCCUGGGAAACUGGGGGUAAUACCGUAUACGCCCUUUGGGGGCAAGAUUUAUCGGGGAAGGAUUAGCCCGCGUUGGAUUAGGUAGUUGGUGGGGUAAUGGCCUACCAAGCCGACGAUCCAUAGCGGGUUUGAGAGGAAGAUCAGCCACACUGGGACUGAGACACGGCCCAGACUCCUACGGGAGGCAGCAGUGGGGAAUCUUAGACAAUGGGGGCAACCCUGAUCUAGCCAUGCCGGGUGAGUGAUGAAGGCCUUAGGGUUGUAAAGCUCUUUCAGCUGGGAAGAUAAUGACGGUACCAGCAGAAGAAGCCCCGGCUAACUCCGUG